CACCGCGGUUAUACGAGAGGCUCGAAUUGACAUUUCUCGGCGUAAAGUGUGAUUAGAGACCAUAAAAUACUAAAGCCAAACACCCCUUAAGCUGUCAUACGCAACCGGGAGCAUGAGGCCCCCAAACGAAAGUAGCUUUAACAACACCCUUGAAUUCACGACAGUUAAGAAA
Molecule: ribosomal RNA, 172 nt
Filed under: Dysomma anguillare (shortbelly eel)
Lineage: Eukaryota; Metazoa; Chordata; Actinopteri; Anguilliformes; Synaphobranchidae
Description: partial 12S rRNA
Source: RNAcentral